Brassica oleracea var. oleracea is the source of this 737-nucleotide long non-coding RNA. RefSeq lists it as uncharacterized. The transcript has 3 exons. Lineage: Eukaryota; Viridiplantae; Streptophyta; Magnoliopsida; Brassicales; Brassicaceae. The record is from RefSeq and is a predicted model, not a curated record.
GGAACGCUAUGGCGGAGAAGCUUUAUGGCUAUCCUGCAGCGAAGCAGUUGGGGUGGGGAGAAUCCAAUUAGUGUUAUUGCAGUAGGUCGUGAUACUACUUUCUUUGUGAAUAUUGCUAAGCGUUGUGUCCGUGGAGAGAGCUGGCUACAUUAAAGGCGCAAGAAGGUGAAACGAGCUUUGCACCAGCAAGGUGAGAGUAGUACUAUACUCUCUGAGGGUGGCAGUGGGGAUAGCCAUCAAUCAGAUCAUAGUGUCUUCGGUGCGACUCACUCAGACCACAGGGACGAUGCAGCAUCAAGUGGUGCCAGCGGGAUUUUGAUGUGGAUUAUGAUGCGAAGAGAGAAGAGGGAUUCCCGUCACUUCAAACGGAUGCGGUUUCCACGAGGAAGAAGAUUCUGCUGUAUACACUUGGUUUUAUGACCACAAGCCACUAGUAAAGACCAAACUGAUUAAUGGUCCCAGCUACCAGGAACCGUGAGUAAUGAAGAAGCUCAAGUAUCAUGAGAAGAAGGUUCUGAAGAAAUUAAAUUUCUUGGAAUGGAAAAGAGAAGGUGGCCAUCGCGAAAUCCUCAUCACCACAUGGGUGGUCGUGACGAUUACAAAAAGUUCGCCACUUUUGUUUUUUUUUGUUCCUCUCUUUAUUGUAAUGAACUAUAGGUUUCUGAUUCUUGAGCUUGUUUUUGGUCAGGUAUUCAGGAUUGUGUAGUAUGGCGCAGAAACUGACGAAUGUUAUCUUU